Molecule: non-coding RNA, 132 nt
Organism: Paramuricea clavata
Lineage: Eukaryota; Metazoa; Cnidaria; Anthozoa; Malacalcyonacea; Plexauridae
Source: the annotation of a GenBank genome assembly
GACUAUACCGUUGAGUCAUCAUCAGGAAUUAUGAAAGCUACUAAAAAGUUUACAAGUUUCAUACCUGUAUAUAUAACUUGUAAAAUUUUUAGUAGCUUUCAUAAUUCCUGAUGCUGACUCAACAGUAUAGUC